GAUGAAGAACGCAGUGAAAUGCGAUAAGUAAUGUGAAUUGCAGAAUUCAGUGAAUCAUCGAAUCUUUGAACGCACAUUGCGCCCGCCAGUACUCUGGCGGGCAUGCCUGUUCGAGCGUCAUUACAACCCUCAGGCCCCCGGGCCUGGCGUUGGGGAUCGGCGGAAGCCCCCUGCGGGCACAACGCCGUCCCCCAAAUACAGUGGCGGUCCCGCCGCAGCUUCCAUUGCGUAGUAGCUAACACCUCGCAACUGGAGAGCGGCGCGGCCACGCCGUAAAACACCCAACUUCUGAAUGUUGACCUCGAAUCAGGUAGGAAUACCCGCUGAACUUAAGCAUAUCAAUAAGCGGAGGA
Molecule: unclassified non-coding RNA, 353 nt
Filed under: soil metagenome
Description: partial contains 5.8S ribosomal RNA, internal transcribed spacer 2, and large subunit ribosomal RNA
Rfam family: 5.8S ribosomal RNA (bases 1-120)
Source: RNAcentral